This 485-nucleotide ribosomal RNA is filed under the name uncultured Coxiella sp. Its description in RNAcentral is "bacterial SSU rRNA". It matches the Rfam family "Bacterial small subunit ribosomal RNA", at positions 456 to 939 of the family's 1533-position model. The record is from RNAcentral. Lineage: Bacteria; Pseudomonadati; Pseudomonadota; Gammaproteobacteria; Legionellales; Coxiellaceae.
AAUAUACUUGAGCAUUGACGUUAUCUACAGAAGAAGCACUGGCUAACUCUGUGCCAGCAGCCGCGGUAAUACAGAGAGUGCAAGCGUUAAUCGGAAUCACUGGGCGUAAAGCGCGCGUAGGUGGAUGUUUAAGUCGGAUGUGAAAGCCCUAGGCUUAACCUAGGAACUGCAUUCGAUACUGAAUAUCUCGAGUAUGGUAGAGGGAAGUGGAAUUUCCGGUGUAGCGGUGAAAUGCGUAGAUAUCGGAAAGAACACCAGUGGCGAAGGCGGCUUCCUGGACCAAUACUGACACUGAGGUGCGAAAGCGUGGGGAGCAAACAGGAUUAGAGACCCUGGUAGUCCACGCCGUCAACGAUGAGAACUAGCUGUUGGGAAGUUUACUUUCUAGUAGCGAAGCWAACGCGUUAAGUUCUCCGCCUGGGGAGUACGGCCGCAAGGUUAAAACUCAAAGAAAUGAGGGAGACCCGGCCUCAAAAGGGGGGUAA